Vigna unguiculata (cowpea) is the source of this 1423-nucleotide unclassified non-coding RNA. The record is from RefSeq and is a predicted model, not a curated record. Lineage: Eukaryota; Viridiplantae; Streptophyta; Magnoliopsida; Fabales; Fabaceae.
UUGGUUUAUAUCCAUACACAUCACACACACUGCGACACGCAGGGUCCUUUGAAAUUUCAACCUCAUUCACAAUUCCUCUUCUUUCUUCAUCUUCUUCUUCUUGGUUUCCAAGAAGAAACAAAGACAAUGGCUACUGUCAUCGACUCUCAUUUCUUAGGGUUCACCGCACUUGUCACUAUUGGCUAUCAGUUUCUGUUUUUCGUCAUCACCGCGCUCCUCAAAUUCGACAAAGUCACUGAUUUUGCUGGAAGCACGAAUUUCAUUAUAAUUGCUGUAUUGACACUGGUGAUCAAAGGCUCCUGGUAUUUUCGGCAGAUAAUCCUGACUUCGUUUGUUGUGAUAUGGGGAAUUCGCCUGGGGCUUUUCCUGUUAUUCAGAAUUUUGCAGUGGGGAGAAGACCGACGCUUUGAUGAAAUGCGCAGUAAUUUGGGUAGACUAGCCAUAUUUUGGAUAUUUCAGGCUGUCUGGGUGUGGACUGUGAGUUUACCGGUCACAUUGGUUAAUGCAAGCGACAGAAAUCCCUUUCUACAUGUUGUGGAUAUAAUAGGUUGGAUCUUGUGGGCUGUUGGUUUUAUUGUGGAAGGUACAGCAGACCAACAAAAGCUGAAUUUCAAAAGAUCAUCAGAAAAUAGAGGGAGGUGGUGUAAUGUUGGAGUCUGGAAAUAUUCUCGUCAUCCUAAUUAUUUUGGUGAGAUAUUGCUUUGGUGGGGGGUUUUUCUGGCAUCUACACCUGUACUGGAGGGUGCUGAAUGGCUGGUAAUCGUUGGACCGAUCUUUCUCACGUUGUUGCUUCUUUUUGUCAGUGGCAUUCCGCUGCUUGAGGACUCGGCAGAUAAGAAGUUUGGUAAUGUAGACGGAUAUAGGAUAUACAAAAAAGAACAAGCCCUUUAAUCCCAUUGCCACCAUCAGUCUAUGGGAACUUACCGGCAUGGUUCAAAACAGCCCUUCUCUUAGAGCUUCCAUUCUACAGUCGUAAUCUUCUACAAGAAGAGAACUGGUGAGAUGAUAUUUAACUAUUUACUGUCUGCUCAAGGUGUAGAGAAGGCAGUGGGAAAAGUAAUGAUGAUCUGAAAAUCGGCUAAUAGCACUUGGUUCUUUGAAUUUGUUUGAUUCCUUUCACACGUCAGGCUCAAGUCGCUGCUUUCAUCGUCCAUGGUUAUGAUGCAAGUAUUGCUUGUUUCUCUUAAAUAUGCAUAGUUCACCUUCAUGUACUAUAUGUUUGUUUUUGCAAGUAUCGUGACCAGUGCAGAUACCAAUGGACCAUGAAUUCUGUUUCUCAUCUUAUUAUUUUAUUUCAAUUAUCGUGAUGAACCUGUAACUUGCCAACCGUUGCAGGUAUUGAACACAAAUGUUUUAUUGACUCUCCUGAAUAUUGUAUUUAGCAGAAUUAUUUUUUUAAUACAAUGUUGUUAUAAAGCUAACA